UCCAACGUGAGCUUCUAAAAUUUAUUAUCUUUGAUCAAUUUCUUCACUGGAUGGAUGGGAUAAAACCUGGCAUGUGAUGAGGUUAUGGCAUUUGUGCCAUUUUUGGUAAUUUCCAUUGUACUGUGACACUGAAUACCUUUGCUGCUAUAUAAUGUUUAAGUUUGCUUAGACACAGACCUAAAAUGAGAGAUAAUUUACUUAACUGUUCUGAGAAAAUUUGCCAAAUGGGUAAGCCAUGAUUAGUUUUGAAAAAAGCGCAGAUUUAGUACUACAGUGACUCAUAACAAUGAGCAAAAAAAUGUCAUGAAAGUAUUUUAAACUGCAUUUUAUCAUAGGGAAAUAUAAAAUCACCUUAAAUAGCUGUGUCUGUACUUGACCUUCCAGCACCCAGGUACUUCUAGGCUGGCUCUUGGGUAUUACACCAAAGCAGGAUUUUAACCUUUUCUCCUAAAGGAAUCCACAGCAAGGAAAUACGACCCUUUUUGAAUAUAAAAAACCUCAAACCAGCUGUUAUUCUUUAGGGCCCUUAAAAACAUCUUUCCUCUUGGGAAUAGUUUUAUGAUGGAGCAAUUGCAGUGAUUACAAAGUACUUCACAAUUAAAGAAUUUCACUCCUGAGGCAACUUCAUUUUAUGUCAUAAAGUUAGUUUAUAUUUCUAUGUCUGAAAAGUAUUCAUAUUUAAAUUACUUUAUAUUAUUAUACUAGUUUAUUAUUUAUUUUCUUUAUUAUUAUUAUAUUAAUUUAUAUUCCUAGUUUACUAAUUAGGGAAAAGAGGUGAGGAAACACUUGAAAAUCACAUAAAUUCCAAACACAAACCAAAUCUCAGCCCCAAAGAUCUCUUUUCCAGUUUCCUGGUCCUGGGCCACCAUAGCCAAGCUGGAGGGAGCCCAGAAGCCCUGGACCAGCAGCAUUGCUGGAGAGAGGAACAGGAUGGGAGCUGCACACUCAGUCUGUGCCAGGAUGAAGCCCAUGGCUUGCCCAGCCAUUGAAGUUGCAGCACCAUGGCACAGCUGAGCAUGGGAAUAGUGUUCAGUACUCUGAGAGAAGCUCAUGUUCAAAAGGGAGGCAGAUGUCAAAAUGUGCCAUGGGGAUGUCACCAAGCUGCUGGAACUGGCCACAGGCAGGCAGGUCAGGAAUGCCACCAUGGGGUUGGCAGCAUCACAUCCAAGAGGAAAAGUGGCAGGAGUCUGGGUGAAGGACAAGAACGUCUCUCUGCUGACAUCCCAGGGCCACUGAGAUUGCUGGGACUCCUGCUCCUGAGUUCAGUAAAGCUGGGAUUUCACCCAGCUCCUUUUGUUUGGUUUGGAAAUGAGGAUUUUAAAGGCCACCCCUAGGCCAGGUCUCCUGUGCUGAUGUACAAGAAACACUCCCUAAACCUGGACUCUUGCUGCCUCCUCCUGUUUUGGCCCUAAUUCCAGAAAGCACUUAAUAUAUCCAUAAAUACAUUUCUCACGGGCAAAGCUCUUGAGCAAACACCUUGUUUAAAGAUUUGCUUAUCUCUAAUUCCUUGGUGAAGAAGUAAGGUAUUACUCCAAAGGAGUAAAAAGAGAUAAUCAAGCUGUAAAUCCUCACAGUUUCUAUCAUUUAUAACCAGAGCUUAGUCAUCUUUUGACCAGUGACGCACAGCACAGAUUUCUUGCUGAAUAAAAUUGUAGAAGCACAGCCAGUUUUUCACAGAGCUUGGAACUGUGCCCUUUGUGGGGUUUUAUGAAUGCAGAGCUCAAGGUCCAUAGUAUGGCACGGAUAACCUAAUGCAAGGUCAUGUUUUGUUGGAAUAACAGUGGCUAAAUCCUCCACAACAAUGAUGGGGGGGUCCAGCCCAACCUGGAGAUUUUAUGGAAUUUCACAGGGAUUUGGCUGUGCAGAACAAGUUCAAAUUGUGAGAACAAUAAAGGCAAUUGUAAAACACUGAAGAUUGGAACUGUAAAGGUCAGAGCCUGAUCUGCACUCCCCCAAUUCUCACAUGUAUUUAGAUCUGAGAUACCCUGUGCAUUUAGCUUGGCGCUCUCCAGUUCAGCAAGGUGGAAGAAAAUCAUCUUUACCUUUGGAAAAUUCCAUCACAGGGCUAUGUUUUCCUCCUAAAACUCCAGAAUUUCAUGUCAUGAAUGAUGCAUAUUCUGUCUCAAAGGAAAUCACCCCAGAAAAAAACAUUCCCCAUGGUCUUAACUUUAGGCAGAUGCUGCUGAACCAGCAUGGGGGUGGGUAAAAGUGCAUUUCCCAGGUAAACUGGACAUUCACUUCUGCACAUACACACACACACAAAGAGAACAAAACCAUGAGAAAUUUUCCUUUCCAGCCUGCCAGAGUGAAGCCAGAUUCCACACAGGACUCUCAGAGCACUCUUUCCUCCCAUCCCCAAGCACACUGGAUUGAGCACUCAGCCAGGAUCUGGAAGGAACUUAUAUUCAGUUUAGUAGUCAGUGGAAGUGCUGAGAGCUCCUUGCUAUGCAAAUUUAAGAAAGUCCAAGAAGUCCAUUGAGGUCAGGUGUUUUAUAGCUCCUGCUCCCUUUUAUGGAGUUUUACUCUUAAAAGUGAAGUGACUUGUUAAGUUUUUGUAUUGCCUAAACCCAGAAGUGGAGAAUAUUUUGAUUCAUCCAAAGAGACUCUCUGAAAGCCAUCAAUGCUCAGGAUGAAAAUGAAUCAAAACAAUCAACCUCCUGAGAUUAGUCAGAAUUAGCUCUUUUCCUGUACUGGUCUGUAUGAAAUAAUUCCUUCACCUUUGACCAGGGAGAAAAAAACUUAAAAAGCACAAAAUAAGCAAUAAAAAUGACCAUUAAAAAUUUCCUCAGGAAAUCUAUUUAAAUGCUGAUGUCAUUUUCUCCAGUCACCACUUCAAUUUUACUCUGUGUUAAACCAGAAAGGCACCAUCAGAGUCAUGAGGAGGGGAAGGUUUGGCCAGGCAACAGCAGGAACAUGGAAUACACAUCCAAGGGGGAAUGUACAUGCAAGGGGUGCCAGGAAGACCCUGUUCUAAAAUGAAGAAGAAAUCUGAGGAAAGAGGUGUCUCCCUACUCUGGAAUUUGAGGUGGAUCCUGGGAAAUGAAGCACAGAAUGGUUUGGAUUGGGAGGAACCUUGGAGAUGUUCUUGUUCCAACCCCUCUGCCAUGGGCACUCAGCAAGUCUUGCUGCAGAUGUCCAGGUUUGGAGAAGCUCAUGGAAGUGUCGAAUUUAAACAGAGGUUUAACAGCCCAGCAGGUGAGGGGCCACAGAAAAUCCACUCAGGAUCAUGACUCUAUGAUGGAGUGAAGAAGAGUCCUCUAAUUCAAGGCACAGAGUGGUGAGUGCCAGUUUGUUGGGAAGCCAAGGGAAACAGGAGAUGUGGCCUCAUAAAUCUGGUUAUUCUUCCAAAAAUAUACAGCAGGAACAUGAGAUGCUACUGGGAACACACACAGUACAGCACAGUGUUCAGCAAAGCAUGGUAACCUAAUUUCCGUGUUACAUGAGAGAAGAAAACCCUGACUCAUAUUUUAUGAAAAUUGUAAUGGUGAAUCAGCAAAUUACUUCUGUUUAUCUCCACCAACGUCAGCACUCUGAAGUCUGGAGCAACCUGAACUAAUCCCAGGGCACUUUUAAAUAGAAUAUGUUCAGACCAGCUGAAGCUGGGCUAAAUGGGAACAAGCAGGAAUUCGUCAUCAAUGGACAGCUGGGAAGCUCAGAAAAUUCUGUUUCCUGCCUGUCCAGUCAGAAGGAAAGAGAAGCUCUGUGUGUGCCCUUCACCUCUGACUCCCAUAUCAGAUCCUAAAUAAAAAAUGUUUACCCUUCAGAAAUGUGUGGCCGGUAUAACAAGAUGUCCCUGGAUGGCAAAUGCUGGUGGCUUUGUAUAUGUGCCUGUUUACACAUAUCCCUGUGGUGGUAGGAAGAAAAUAAAACUGCACAGAAAUCUAUAACCUGAUCUGGUUUGUUUAGCUGCUAAUCCAAUCUUCUCUCCUAGUAGAGCUCCAAUAAUUUGAUUGUGUUGUGUAGGGCACUCUGGAGCACCUGAGGGAUGAGAAUGAAAUACUGUAGAUGAGCAGAGAAACUGCUGAAAUGCCUUCCUGCAUCAGUGCUCCGAGUACAUCAUGAGAUUGCUGCUGCUCACCCUCAGAG
This is a non-coding RNA of Cyanistes caeruleus (blue tit), 4086 nucleotides long. The record is from RefSeq and is a predicted model, not a curated record. Lineage: Eukaryota; Metazoa; Chordata; Aves; Passeriformes; Paridae.